This 65-nucleotide transfer RNA is filed under the name Dipodomys ordii (Ord's kangaroo rat). It matches the Rfam family "tRNA". Rfam says of the family: Transfer RNA (tRNA) molecules are approximately 80 nucleotides in length. Their secondary structure includes four short double-helical elements and three loops (D, anti-codon, and T loops). The record is from Rfam by way of RNAcentral. Lineage: Eukaryota; Metazoa; Chordata; Mammalia; Rodentia; Heteromyidae.
GGUGGCUCAGUGGUAGAGCGCUUGGUUUGCAAUCCUGAGGCCCUGGGUUCAAUUCCUCAGCACCA